RNAcentral lists this unclassified non-coding RNA (378 nucleotides) under uncultured Enterobacteriaceae bacterium. RNAcentral's name for it is "contains 16S-23S intergenic spacer region". The record is from RNAcentral. Lineage: Bacteria; Pseudomonadati; Pseudomonadota; Gammaproteobacteria; Enterobacterales; Enterobacteriaceae.
UCCGGUUUAUCACCGGCAGUCUCCUUUGAGUCCCCGCCUCUACGCGCUGGCAACAAAGAAUAAGGGUUGCGCUCGUUGCGGGACUUAACCCAACAUUUCACAACACGAGCUGACGACAGCCAUGCAGCACCUGUCUCACAGCUCCCGAAGGCACCCCUCCCUCUCAGAAGGGUUCUGUGGAUGUCAAGACCAGGUAAGGUUCUUCGCGUUGCAUCGAAUUAAACCACAUGCUCCACCGCUUGUGCGGGCCCCCGUCAAUUCAUUUGAGUUUUAACCUUGCGGCCGUACUCCCCAGGCGGUCGAUUUAACGCGUUAGCUUCGGAAGCCACUCCUCAGGGGAACAACCUCCAGAUCGACAUCGUUUACAGCGUGGACUAC